GAUGAACGCUGGCGGUAUGCCUAACACAUGCAAGUCGUACGAGAGUUUUUAACUCAAGUGGCGGACGGGUGAGUAACGCGUGAGAAUCUGCCCUCAGGAGGGGGAUAACGGUUGGAAACGGCCGCUAAUACCCCAUAUGCCGCGAGGUGAAAUGAAUUUCGCCUGAGGAUGAGCUCGCGUCUGAUUAGCUAGUUGGUGUAGGUAAUGGCUCACCAAGGCAUCGAUCAGUAGCUGGUCUGAGAGGAUGAUCAGCCACACUGGGACUGAGACACGGCCCAGACUCCUACGGGAGGCAGCAGUGGGGAAUUUUCCGCAAUGGGCGAAAGCCUGACGGAGCAACGCCGCGUGAGGGAUGAAGGCCUCUGGGCUGUAAACCUCUUUUAUCAAGGAAGAAGAUCUGACGGUACUUGAUGAAUAAGCCACGGCUAAUUCCGUG
Molecule: ribosomal RNA, 436 nt
Filed under: uncultured bacterium
Lineage: Bacteria
Description: bacterial SSU rRNA
Rfam family: Bacterial small subunit ribosomal RNA
Source: RNAcentral